UCACACGAUCGAUCGAGCGUUUGUCACAUGAUCAAGCGUUUGCGUGUCACAUGAUCGAGCGUUUGUCACAUGAUCGAGCGUUUGCUUGUCACAUGAUCGAGCGUUUGCGUGUCACAUGAUUGAGCGUUUGUCACAUGAUCAAGAGUUGUCACAUGAUCGAGCGUUUGCGUGUCACAUGAUCGAUCGAGCGUUUGUCACAUGAUUGAGCGUUUGCGUGUCACAUGAUCGAGCGUUUGUCACAUGAUCGAGCGUUUGUCACAUGACAAUAAUGACAAUAAAAUGACAAUAAUCCAGACAGUGAAAGUGAAUGAAAACCCUUUAGGAAAACAGGAAACACUUUAAUCCACUUUAAUCUGGUAAUCUGACUGAGAUUGGCUCCAUUUAAGUGAGUUUAACAGCAGGUAAGAAGUCAAACCUGGUUUAGUUAACACUAACACUGUUAGUAAACAGAGGUGAAUGUGAUGUCGUCAUAACUGCGUCUCCAUGGCAACAAAACCAUGAACAAUAAUCUGAGAUUAAAUCACUUUCUGAUGAAUAAACUUUUCUCUCAUU
Molecule: long non-coding RNA, 552 nt
Organism: Solea solea (common sole)
Lineage: Eukaryota; Metazoa; Chordata; Actinopteri; Pleuronectiformes; Soleidae
Exons: 2
Source: RefSeq, a predicted model, not a curated record